Long non-coding RNA from Triticum dicoccoides, 232 nucleotides. RefSeq lists it as uncharacterized. Lineage: Eukaryota; Viridiplantae; Streptophyta; Magnoliopsida; Poales; Poaceae. The record is from RefSeq and is a predicted model, not a curated record. The transcript is spliced from 3 exons.
ACAGAACAACCUUGAGAUGUGUCUGCGACCAAUCCACAUUCGGCACAACUCCCACAACUUGAACACCAAGCUCUUUGCCAUUUAAAUGGUUGAGAGAAUAAACUGGAUGGAUGACAAAUCCGAGAAGGGCAUUGAACAAAGUGUAGGUAUCAUGGUAAAUUAUCUCUAAGGUACUUAGCCAACUGGUGCACAUGGACGUGAUGACUUUGCAGCGUUUAUGGACCAACCACUU